GUUGUUUUCUCGAAAAUCAAUUUAAUGAGUUCUUGUUUUUAAGUUAUUGUGACUUUAUCAGCGCAUUUCUUAUUUUACUUGACUCAUUGAAUGCACUUUUCGUUUAACAAGUCAACAUCAAUUUCUUUGGUGGUAAAAAGUUUAAAGGAAGGUGGCUUGGACUUCGGUUCAAGUGUUUAUAGCCUUUUUUCUAUGCCAUCGGAGAGAUUGAGGUCUGCAGCGUAGAUCCUUCGGGGUUAGAUACUUUAGUGCUAAGUUAUAGUUUUUUAUAGACAACUUGUUGACUAUAAUUAACCCUGUAAUUUACUCGCUAGAGCUAUUUUACCUAC
Molecule: ribosomal RNA, 329 nt
Filed under: uncultured Neocallimastigales
Lineage: Eukaryota; Fungi; Neocallimastigomycota; Neocallimastigomycetes; Neocallimastigales
Description: partial large subunit ribosomal RNA
Source: RNAcentral